RNAcentral lists this ribosomal RNA (447 nucleotides) under uncultured bacterium. RNAcentral describes it as "bacterial SSU rRNA". It matches the Rfam family "Bacterial small subunit ribosomal RNA", at positions 330 to 794 of the family's 1533-position model. The record is from RNAcentral.
CCCAGACUCCUACGGGAGGCAGCAGUGGGGAAUAUUGCACAAUGGGGGAAACCCUGAUGCAGCAACGCCGCGUGAAGGAAGACGGUUUUCGGAUUGUAAACUUCUGUUCUUAGUGAAGAAUAAUGACGGUAGCUAAGGAGCAAGCCACGGCUAACUACGUGCCAGCAGCCGCGGUAAUACGUAGGUGGCAAGCGUUGUCCGGAAUUACUGGGUGUAAAGGGUGCGUAGGCGGGAUGCCAAGUCAGCGGUAAAAAUGCGGUGCUCAACGCCGUCGAGCCGUUGAAACUGGCGUUCUUGAGUGGGCGAGAAGUAUGCGGAAUGCGUGGUGUAGCGGUGAAAUGCAUAGAUAUCACGCAGAACUCCGAUUGCGAAGGCAGCAUACCGGCGCCCUACUGACGCUGAGGCACGAAAGCGUGGGUAUCGAACAGGAUUAGAUACCCCAGUAGU